AAGCUUCACACCCUGGCCAGGGAUGGCACACUCCUGGCUACAUACUCAGACCCAGCACUAGAUAGCCUAUAUAGCCUAUCUGGUCUACAUGUGACCCCUGCAGGCCAGGUGCUGGUCUGUGGAUACUGGUCCCACACUGUACUACAGGUGGGCUGGGAGGGAGAGAGUAAGCUGGCUAAUCUUGCUACACGGGAGGAUGGAGUGUGGUACCCACGGUCAGUCUGCUACAGCAGCACAAUAUUAUCCAUCAUUGUGGGACAGCUGGGGGACAUCCUGGUGUUCAGAGUGGAAUAGUGUGUACAUUUGCUGCUGGGUCGGGACAACGAUGCUGAGGAUGUGGGGGACAAGCAUGACGCAGAAGGAGAGCACCAGCAUUGAUAUCGAGUUGGCCAACCAACAGCACCAGUCGGGCCUGCAGGAGCCCCAACACAAAACAAUCCUUUCCCUUCCCUGAUCCCUAGCUCCUCCCACUGGACCUAUGGCUUCAAAUGGUCAGCAUCGUUACACAAGUCUGUUCUGCAAUAAAUCCUCAGCACGUCAAGUUUUCACGCGCUGUUAUGAACAACCGAAAUGUCUGUGUCGAGAUUUCCCCAAGCAAGCCCGAGUAGUUUUGUUUAGGUCUAGUGCCCGAGUAGGAUGAGUGUUACAGAAGCGAGACGUUAUAGCAGUACUUAUGGUAACGCUAACAGUUAGUUCUCGCUGUGGACAUCACAAAGAAUCUCACGAAGAAUGAAACGUUGAAUAAUUUGUUUAAUUCUUUAUAAGACAGCUAUAUAUUCAGCGAGGAACGGGAGCAAAUCAAGGAACAACCGAGACAAUUCAUUCAGAAGAAUAUCUGCUGUAGAUAGUUAGGACAGUAGUAGCGUUACGGACUGUCCUCAGUGCACAAUAUAUUCAUGUGGUGCACCUCAGACGCAAAUUCCCCCCAUUAUUGAAAACAAGUUGCUAAAAGUAAACACGCCCAGUUUUGCACUCCGAGCCCAAACGGCAUCGCAUUGAAUUGAGACUAAACGAGGCUUAAAAACAUGACACCAGUUUUGUUGUAAGGUACGCCCUUCGACUCUCAACCCGAAGUUUAUCAGAACUCAAACUUGGCCCUUAACAAUAUCUGCGAAGCCGGCAUAUCAGCUCAGCUUCUGAGCUUCAGCAAACACUAUAAGCCGCCAAGAUAAAAACAUCGUUGAAGUGAAAGUCGAUGACAAUCCUGACCCCUUCGCUUAAGUAAUUCAGCACAAAAACGUCUUGCGUCGGAGUAGCAAGCCUCCAAACAUCUUCUCCCGUGUUGGCUACAUCAACACUUUUUACAGCGGAGCCUUGGCGAGUUCGACUUCCAUUUCAGCAUCGAUGUUGCUUAGCAACAAUUCAAUGCUGGGAAUCGACAAAUUGUUCUAGACGAGUCGCUUACACAGAAACAAUCUGAUCCAACAGAUAGAGCAUGCGUUGCGUGACUUGUCCCUUAUUGCAACUUACCUCGAUAAGUUGCUCUCGAAUAAUGUGAACCUUAUGCCAGUAUGCGAUUGACACCAUUUAACAACAGUUGUUGUUGAGAAUUCCCGGGUUUGAGGUGGCAACUUUGGCGUCGGGACUCGCUCCAUCUCUGUCUAUGGCCCGGUCAAAGCAGCAGCAGCAGCAACAAUAAGAACAACAAGUAGUAUCUGAGCGGUGCUCUGGGAUACGGGGCUUCAUAGCCUGUUCCUCCUGGUCCAGGACCUUUGGACAAAUGUUCAAAUAGUACUACCCACAGGAUGAAGCCACUCUGAAUCCGGGGCUCCAUACGUUCUUGGCCAGGGGCGAAGACUACCUCGUCAAUAAGCAGAGCACCAGCAUUGAUAUCGAGUUGGCCCAGCAACCGCACCAGUCCCGCCUGCAGGAGCCCCAGUCCAGAACGACCCUUCCCCUCCCUUGACUUCUAGCUCCCCUCCCUUGACCGCCUGCCUCAAAAAGUCAGCAUCGUUGAACAACUCCGUUCUGCAGCAAAUUCUGAGCAUGAUUCUGUUCUGAACAAACGCAAUGCCCACGUCACGUUUUCCAAACAUAAGCCUGGGUAGUUUUGUUAAGCUAGAGUUCCGCGUGGGCCUGAAAGGGACGAGUGUUACAGACACAAACAGUUAUAGCAGUAGUUAUGGUAACGCUAACAGUCAGUUGUUGCUGUUGGACAUCACAACAAAUAUCAUGAAGAAUAAAAAAUUCAAUAAGUUGUUCCAAUCUUUAUGGGACAAACAGAAAUUGAACGGAAGAAAAUCAAGGAACAAUAAAAGCGUAAGCUUUCCUAGUGGGAUACAUCUGCUGUUGAUAGUUUGGACAACAGUAGGGUUGCGGACUGCCCCAGAUUGUCCUCUCAGCGGCCAAAAUAUCAUAAUAGAACGGACUUUUGGCAAUGUUACUGACACAGAAAGGCAAUAAUGACUUGGUUGUCAAUACCCAGAGCACGAUACAUCCAUGCUGACAAAGAAAGGCAGUAAUGACUUGGUUGUGAACACCCAGAGCGCCAUACAUCCAUGCUGACACAGUAAGGCAGUAAUGACUUGGUUGUGAACACCCAGAGCACAAUACAUCCAUGCUGACACAGAAAGGCAGUAAUGACAUGGUUGUGAACACCCAGAGCAAAAUACAUCCAUGCUGACACAGAAAGGCAGUAUGACUUGGCUGUGAACACAGAACACAAUACACCCAUGCUGACACAGAAAGGCAGUAAUGACUUGGUUAUGAACACCCAGAGCAAGAUAUUUCCAUGCUGACACAGAAAGGCAGUAAUGACUAUGCUGUGAACACCUUGAGCAAGAUAUAUCCUUGCUAACACAGAAAGGCAGUAAUGACUAUGCUGUGAACACCCGGAGCAUAAUACAUCCAUGCUGACACAGAAAGUUAGUAAUGACUAUGCUGUAUACACCCGGAACACAAUACAUCCAUGCUGACACAGAAAGGCAGUAAUGACUUGGUUGUGAACACCCAGAGCACAAUACAUCCAUGCUGACAAAGAAAGGCAGUAAUGACUUGGCUAUGAACACAUAACACGAUACACCCAUGCUGACACAGAAAGGCAGUAAUGACUUGGCUGUGAACACAGAGCACAAUACAUCCAUGCUGAAACAGAAAGGCAGUCAUGACUAUGCUGUGAACACCCAGAGCACGAUAUAUCCACGCAUACGCAGAAAGGCAGUAAUGACUAUGCUGUGAACACCCAGAGCAAGAUAUAUCCAUGCUGACACAGAAAGGCAGUAAUGGCUAUGCUGUGAACACCCAGAGCAAGAUAUAUGGAUGCUGACACAGAAAGGCAGUAAUAACUAUGCUGUGAACACUCAGAGCACAAUACAUUCAUGGUGACACAGAAAGGCAGUAAUGACUUGGUUGUGAACACCCAGAGCAAGAUAUAUCCAUGCUGACACAGAAAGGCAGAAAUGACUUGGCUGUGAACACAGAACACGAUGCACCCAUGCUGACACAGAAAGGCAGAUAUGACUUGGCUGUGAACACAGAGCACAAUACAUCCAUGCUGACACAGAAAGGCAGUUAUGACUUGGUUGUGAACACAGAGCACAAUACAUCCUUGUUGACAUAGAAAGGUAGUAAUGACUUUGCUGUGAACUCAGAGCACGAUACAUCCAUGCUGACACAGAAAGGCAGUAAUGACUUUGCUGUGAACUCAGAGCACAAUAUAUCCAUGCUAACACAGAAAGGCAGUAAUGACUUGGAUGUAAAUACCCAGAGCACAAUACAUCCAUGCUGACACAGAAAGGCAGUAAUGACUUUGCUGUGAACUCAGAGCACGAUACAUCCAUGCUGAGACAGAAAGGCAGUAAUGACUUGGAUGUAAACACCCAGAGCACAAUACAUCCAUGCUGACACAGAAAGGCAGUAAUGACUUUGUUGUUAACACUAAGAGAUCCAUACAUCCAUGGGGUGUGCAACAGACGCAAAUUACGCCCACUAUUUUGAACAAGGUGCUUAAAGUGAACACGUCUAGUUUCUGUUAUGAGCACUUAGCAUUCCGAGUCCAAAAGGCCUCGCAUUGAAUUGAUGUGAGAGAAGGCUUUGAAAAAUAACAGCAGUUUUGUUGUGUGGUCCAAUACGCCCUUCGACUCUCAACCCGAAGAAAUCAAAACUCAAACUCGUCUCUUAGCAAUAUCAGCAAGGCCAGCAUGUCAUCUCAGCUUCUUGAACUUCAGUGAACUUAACUAGCAAACAUGACAAACGUCAUUGAAGUGAAAGUCGAUGACAACCCCCUUCUUGCACAAAUACUACAAUUGCUUAAGAAAUUCAGCACAAAGACGUCUUGCGUCAGACUACCAAGCCUCCUAUCAAUAUCUUCUCCCAUGUUGGCUACAUCAACACUUCCAACAGCAGAGCCUUGGUGAGUUCGACUUCCGUCUCGGCAUUGAUGUCGCUUAGCAACAAUUGGAUGAUGGGCGUCGACAAAUUAGGCCGGACAAGUCGCUCAAACUGAAAUGAUCUGAUCCAACAGGUUUGUGGUGGCGACUUCAGCGUCAGGACUUGCUCCAUCUCUGUCUAUGGCCCAGUCACAGCAGCAGCAGCAGCAACAAGAACAAUAAGAACCCAGGCAAUCAUAGAUCAGUACCUAGCUGAACAACAGGCUGUCUGGUCAGCUGGGCCCAGGGCCCAGUGACACUUCCUGGCCCAGGACCUUGGGGCCAAUGCUCAACUAGUCCUACCCGCAAGGUGGAGCCACACUGAACCUGGGGCUCCAUACUUUCUUGGCCAGUGGCCAAGAUAGCCUCGUCAAUUAGGGACACAUUCCUGGGAUGCCCUAAGGUCUUUCUAUCUUUUCACAGAAGUCUUAUACUCACAAGUUCAAGCCCAGUAGCAAUGUCCACAUUAUCAAACUCUGCAUCUCAAUAGAAACCCGGAUAGCAAGGCGUUGAGUUUGUUCUUGAAGCAUUUGCACCUUAAGCAGUCAUCAUUUUGAUAUUCUGGAAUCUCCAUGGUGAAGGACCCUCAGUCUGUGAACAAAAUGCAGAGCGAACCUCAGAUGCCUUUUGACGAAAUCAAAUCAUCCAGUCAGAAACACAGACUGUUGCAGCAGUUGUGACCAUAUUGACCCCAGUCAAACCUAAGAAGCUCAGAGAUAAAUACUGAUUUAGUUCUGCUAGUCUCUACAUACUGCCUGGUUUGGUCAGCACUUACUCUGACUCUUUGAAUAUUAUGACGGAUGGAAAUGAAUGACCUUGUUCAGAUCGAAAUGGCAGAAUGACACAUCACAAGAAUUCAAGCGGAAAGCCAGAAAGUCAUGUCAAUAGCCACAUUUUUUAUGGCACCAGCCAAGUUGUAUUCAAAGACAAACAAUAGUUUAUGCUCUAUUGUGUAUGUGACCAGCCAAGUUGUAUUCAAAGAAAAACAAUAGUUGACGUUUUAUUUUCUAUGUGACCAACCAAUUUGUUUGUAUAGGUCCCUGGUUUAACAAAGCAUUUAAAGUAAUUUUAAAAGCACACAUAUUGCAUGUCUAUUCAAUGUCUUUGCCUGUAUUAUGAAACUUUCACUACAGAUAUUGAUCCUGAUGAUGGUAAAUAAAUGGGAAAUACAAUGUUAUCAAAGAUUUUUUAAGAUUGCCAAAGCUGUUUAAAUGAUGCUGGUAACUGGAAAAAAAAAUAUUGGAAUAUUUUCAUGUUAUAAGACGAGUUUCAGUUGUCUGUUUUUAACCCGUUAAUAUAGAUAAGCUAAUUUAAAAUAUUUGUUCAGAAAGGUGUAAAAUGAUUACGCUUCAGAUUUUUGUCUAUCAACCUUCUGAAAACAAUACUAGUCAAUUGGCUCAUUUGGGUCAGUAUUCGAUCAUGAAUCUUUUUUAGUAGCAUACUAUGUAUUUCAUGGGAAUAUAAAUAAAUUAUGUGCAAAAUUAUUUAAUCUACCUAAAAUAAUCGAUUCUGUAUUUACUACUAGUACUUUGUUGAUGUCAGUGGAUAUUGUUUGUUAAAUGAUUUGAGUAUGACUCUUGUUGAAAAGCUUUAAAUGAAACUGAAUUAAAAAAUAAAUAUUUAAUUUGUUUUAGAGUUUUAUGAAAAAUGGCAAAAGAUUGUUAAGUUGUGUUCUUUUAUCAUAUACUAACAUGGUCAUAAGUGUUAAAAUUUGUUUUCAGACAUAAUAGUUUAUAAUGCUUUAUAUUUGUAUAUGUACAUAACGACGACCAGAUUGUAUCCUCUUUAAUCAGUGAGUAAUUUAAUCAUGAUUUCUUGAUCACUGUAUCAAGUGUAUAUGUAUAUUUUGCCAUAUAUACAUAUAGCAACUGUAAAACAAUUGUAUUUUAAAUGUAAUGUAUUCAUGUAUUGUUGCCAUUUUUAUAAGAUAAACUCACUGUAAACAUUAAUUUGAACAAACCAUUGUUAUAAAAAACAUUUCUUGUGUCAAUGCUAAAAUAUGUAUUAAACUGUUAAAAUAAUGUACAGUAACAACUUCUGAAGAGAAAAAUAUACUUAAGGCAAUAGAAACACAUUGUUAUAUGAAAUGCUUUUUAUUAAGAACACCUACUUAAAAUUUGUUUAAUUUUGUUUUAGAUUAUCUGAAAAAAAAAUAGUACCAUGUAAUUUGAAAUCAGUCAAUGACAAAUUAAGGGAGUGUUGCCAUAUGCUAACAAUAGUCAAGAAAUGAAAUUGUCUCUAUUAGUAAUACAACAGAGCAUUACAAUUUGCUUAAACAAGAGCACCGCAUAAAGGGUGCCACGCUCGGCUACGGGUGCAGUUUUGAAUAAAUGAAAGCUUGUUUGAAUUUAUUUUAGAGGUCACAGUGACUUGACCAUUGACCUAGUGACCCCAAAACGGGUGUGGUGUGUAGAACUCAUCAAGGUGCAUCUACAUAUGAAGUUUGAUAGUUGUAGUUGGAAGCACUUUGAUUUUAGAGCGAAUGUUAAGAUUUUAGCACGACGCGGACGGCGGACGACACGACGAUCUGUAUGACAAUACCUCGAGUUUUCUCCGAAAAUACCGAGCUAAAAAUAAAAACAAAGAUGUUUGCUUUGCAAUUUUUUUUAAAUAUACACUUAUGAAUGUGCUUAUAUUAAACGUAAACAGUAUUGACAUAUUGCUUAAGAUAAAGUUUGACAUUUUAUUAGUUUUGUAACAGUGUGUUUCACCUUUCACAUUGACAAUCCCACAUUUGCUUUCAGUGGGGCCAGUUUCUGUAACUCUUCCACUACAAGUUCAGCAAAUGUUUUAUGACCAGAUUUCCUCAUAUUUGGGAAUGUUUAUAUUUAACGUUUAUUGAAUGCAUGAAACAUGUUUGUUCUGUUUUUUAAUAGCUGAAAAUAGCUUGAUGUUUGUUAAUUGUGUGCCAUGUUGAUCAAUUGAUACAUAAAAAAAAACACAUUUUGCGUUAAUUUGUAUGUGUAGCUAAACAACACAUGUUACCAAAUACAAAUUUAAUUAUUUGGUAACAAUAUAAUUAUUGUGCUAUAUUCGUAAUACCGUAUGAAAUGCAAUAUUAAUUAAAAUGUGUUUAUAUGUUUGUCUACGUCAAAUAAUCAUUUGAAUAAGUAAAUAUAGGGUAAUGAUGUCUAUGGAAAGUACCCGUAGGCACGUUUCAAUUGCUUGUGUACCUCAUAUGGAUCAUGAGGGUCUGUCUAAAUUAUUGCAUGUUUUUAUGCCAAUGUCUGAAUUGUGUAAAUAUCUUCAAAAUCGUGAGAUAUUUGUUAAGAGGAUUUUAAUAUUAAAAGAUAUAAUAGCAUCUAAACUUUAACCGGUCAUCUUUUGCAUUUAUUUUUAUGUGUUUAUAUUGUUUUGCUUACCAAGUUUAAUAUUGUCUAUAUUCGUGCGUAAUUUUAUUGUGGUUGUUUUGUUAAGACAGAGCGCAUAUCACUAAUGCUGUUGUUUUAUGUUAUAUGUAAAUAAUUAAACAUGUUUAUUUUGG
Long non-coding RNA from Dreissena polymorpha, 7851 nucleotides. RefSeq lists it as uncharacterized. The record is from RefSeq and is a predicted model, not a curated record. The transcript is spliced from 12 exons. Lineage: Eukaryota; Metazoa; Mollusca; Bivalvia; Myida; Dreissenidae.